Molecule: ribosomal RNA, 1255 nt
Filed under: uncultured Halomonas sp.
Lineage: Bacteria; Pseudomonadati; Pseudomonadota; Gammaproteobacteria; Oceanospirillales; Halomonadaceae
Description: bacterial SSU rRNA
Rfam family: Bacterial small subunit ribosomal RNA
Source: RNAcentral
CGGCUCCCGCUAUCGGAUGAGCCUAUGUCGGAUUAGCUAGUUGGUGAGGUAAAGGCUCACCAAGGCGACGAUCCGUAGCUGGUCUGAGAGGAUGAUCAGCCACAUCGGGACUGAGACACGGCCCGAACUCCUACGGGAGGCAGCAGUGGGGAAUAUUGGACAAUGGGGGGAACCCUGAUCCAGCCAUGCCGCGUGUGUGAAGAAGGCCCUCGGGUUGUAAAGCACUUUCAGUGAGGAAGAACGCCUGGUGGUUAAUACCCAUCAGGAAAGACAUCACUCACAGAAGAAGCACCGGCUAACUCCGUGCCAGCAGCCGCGGUAAUACGGAGGGUGCGAGCGUUAAUCGGAAUUACUGGGCGUAAAGCGCGCGUAGGUGGCUUGAUAAGCCGGUUGUGAAAGCCCCGGGCUCAACCUGGGAACGGCAUCCGGAACUGUCAAGCUAGAGUGCAGGAGAGGAAGGUAGAAUUCCCGGUGUAGCGGUGAAAUGCGUAGAGAUCGGNGAGGAAUACCAGNUGGCGAAGGCGGCCUUCUGGACUGACACUGACACUGAGGUGCGAAAGCGUGGGUAGCAAACAGGAUUAGAUACCCUGGUAGUCCACGCCGUAAACGAUGUCGACCAGCCGUUGGGUGCCUAGCGCACUUUGUGGCGAAGUUAACGCGAUAAGUCGACCGCCUGGGGAGUACGGCCGNCAAGGUUAAAACUCAAAUGAAUUGACGGGGGCCCGCACAAGCGGUGGAGCAUGUGGUUUAAUUCGAUGCAACGCGAAGAACCUUACCUACUCUUGACAUCCUGCGAAUUCGGUAGAGAUACCUUAGUGCCUUCGGGAACGCAGAGACAGGUGCUGCAUGGCUGUCGUCAGCUCGUGUUGUGAAAUGUUGGGUUAAGUCCCGUAACGAGCGCAACCCUUGUCCUUAUUUGCCAGCGCGUAAUGGCGGGAACUCUAAGGAGACUGCCGGUGACAAACCGGAGGAAGGUGGGGACGACGUCAAGUCAUCAUGGCCCUUACGAGUAGGGCUACACACGUGCUACAAUGGUCGGUACAAAGGGUUGCCAACUCGCGAGAGUGAGCCAAUCCCGAAAAGCCGAUCUCAGUCCGGAUCGGAGUCUGCAACUCGACUCCGUGAAGUCGGAAUCGCUAGUAAUCGUGGAUCAGAAUGCCACGGUGAAUACGUUCCCGGGCCUUGUACACACCGCCCGUCACACCAUGGGAGUGGACUGCACCAGAAGUGGUUAGCCUAACGCAAGAGGGCGAUC